Molecule: ribosomal RNA, 529 nt
Filed under: uncultured bacterium
Lineage: Bacteria
Description: bacterial SSU rRNA
Rfam family: Bacterial small subunit ribosomal RNA
Source: RNAcentral
AAUAGAUACCCGGGUAGUCCAUGCCGUAAACGUUGGGCACUAGGUGUGGGGCUCAUUCCACGAGUUCCGUGCCGCAGCAAACGCAUUAAGUGCCCCGCCUGGGGAGUACGGCCGCAAGGCUAAAACUCAAAGGAAUUGACGGGGGCCCGCACAAGCGGCGGAGCAUGCGGAUUAAUUCGAUGCAACGCGAAGAACCUUACCAAGGCUUGACAUGCACGGGAAGCCACCAGAGAUGGUGGUCUCUUUGGACACUCGUGCACAGGUGGUGCAUGGUUGUCGUCAGCUCGUGUCGUGAGAUGUUGGGUUAAGUCCCGCAACGAGCGCAACCCUCGUCCCAUGUUGCCAGCGGGUUAUGCCGGGGACUCAUGGGAGACUGCCGGGGUCAACUCGGAGGAAGGUGGGAUGACGUCAAAUCAUCAUGCCCCUUAUGUCUUGGGCUUCACGCAUGCUACAAUGGCCGGUACAAAGGGCUGCGAUACCGUAAGGUGGAGCGAAUCCCGAAAAAGCCGGUCUCAGUUCGGAUUGGGGU